This 268-nucleotide long non-coding RNA is filed under the name Lathyrus oleraceus (garden pea). Its description in RNAcentral is "Pisum sativum (pea) long non-coding RNA (PSAT_LNC016105)". Lineage: Eukaryota; Viridiplantae; Streptophyta; Magnoliopsida; Fabales; Fabaceae. The record is from RNAcentral.
UGGAACUGUCUUUCUUUAGCUUGGGGCAUUCAUUCCUGUAGUGACCUGUUUCUUUACAUUCAUAACAAGUAAUAUCUUUGUUAGUUUUACCUUUUGAGGUUGAUUCUGAUCGAUCCCCUCUGGGUCUUGGUCUUCUGAAGUUGUUGUUCCUCUUUUUCCAGAGUUGUUUAACUCUUCUGGUCAGGAGGGACAAUUCUUCUUCCUCAUCAGAAUCUUCUUGUUCAGAGUCAUCUGCAUCUUCUGUCUCGGCCUGGAAUGCUUUGGUUCU